RNAcentral lists this ribosomal RNA (503 nucleotides) under uncultured bacterium. RNAcentral describes it as "bacterial SSU rRNA". It matches the Rfam family "Bacterial small subunit ribosomal RNA", at positions 791 to 1304 of the family's 1533-position model. The record is from RNAcentral.
UAGUCCUAGCCGUAAACGUUGUACACUAGGUGUGGGGGGAGUUGAUCCCCUCCGCGUCCAAGCUAACGCGAUAAGUGUACCGCCUGGGGAGUACGACGGCAACGUUAAAACUCAAAGGAAUUGACGGGGGCCCGUACAAGCGGUGGAGCAUGUGGCUUAAUUCGAGGCAACGCGAAGAACCUUACCUGGGUUCGACAUAUAGUGGACCGGAUGUGAAAGCAUCCUUCCCUUCGGGGCUGCUAUACAGAUGCUGCAUGGCUGUCGUCAGCUCGUGUCGUGAGAUGUUCGGUUAAGUCCGGCAACGAGCGCAACCCGUGUCGUCAGUUGCCAUAUGGAACUCUAAAAAGACUGCCGGUUAUAAACCGGAGGAAGGCGGGGAUGACGUCAAGUCAGCAUGCCCCUCACACCCUGGGCUACACACGUGCUACAAUGGGCGAGACAAUGAGAUGCAACUCUGCGAAGAUUAGCUAAUCUAAAAACUCGUUCUAAGUUCGGAUUGUAGG